GACGAACGGGGGGGGAGGGAGGAACACAUGCAAGUCGAACGGAAAGGCCCUGCUUUUGUGGGGUGCUCGAGUGGCGAACGGGUGAGUAACACGUGAGUAACCUGCCCUUGACUUUGGGAUAACUUCAGGAAACUGGGGCUAAUACCGGAUAGGAGCUCCUGCUGCAUGGUGGGGGUUGGAAAGUUUCGGCGGUUGGGGAUGGACUCGCGGCUUAUCAGCUUGUUGGUGGGGUAGUGGCUUACCAAGGCUUUGACGGGUAGCCGGCCUGAGAGGGUGACCGGCCACAUUGGGACUGAGAUACGGCCCAGACUCCUACGGGAGGCAGCAGUGGGGAAUAUUGCACAAUGGGCGGAAGCCUGAUGCAGCAACGCCGCGUGCGGGAUGACGGCCUUCGGGUUGUAAACCGCUUUCGCCUGUGACGAAGCGUGAGUGACGGUAAUGGGUAAAGAAGCACCGGCUAACUACGUG
Molecule: ribosomal RNA, 468 nt
Filed under: uncultured bacterium
Lineage: Bacteria
Description: partial 16S ribosomal RNA
Rfam family: Bacterial small subunit ribosomal RNA
Source: RNAcentral